AGAGUUUGAUCCUGGCUCAGAACGAACGCUGGCGGCGUGCCUAACACAUGCAAGUCGAGCGAGAAAGCCCGCAAGGGUGAGUAAAGCGGCGCACGGGUGCGUAACACGUGGGUAAUCUGCCCUAGAGUCCGGAAUAACUCGCCGAAAGGCGUGCUAAUGCCGGAUGAGACCACGGGAGCCUCGGCUCCUGCGGGAAAAGGUGGCCUCUGUACACAAGCUAUCGCUCUGGGAUGAGCCCGCGGCCCAUCAGCUCGUUGGCGGGGUAACGGCCCACCAAGGCUACGACGGGUAGCUGGUCUGAGAGGACGAUCAGCCACACUGGAACUGAGACACGGUCCAGACUCCUACGGGAGGCAGCAGUGGGGAAUCUUGCGCAAUGGGCGAAAGCCUGACGCAGCAACGCCGCGUGUGUGAUGAAGGUCUUCGGAUCGUAAAGCACUGUCGCGAGGGACGAAUAAGGGUCGGUCUAACAAGCCGGUCCGAUGACGGUACCUCGAGAGGAAGCACCGGCUAACUCUGUGCCAGCAGCCGCGGUAAUACAGAGGGUGCAAGCGUUGUUCGGAAUUAUUGGGCGUAAAGCGCGUGUAGGCGGCUUAGUAAGUUGGGUGUGAAAGCCCUCGGCUUAACCGAGGAAGUGCGCCCAAAACUGCUUGGCUUGAGUACCGGAGAGGGUGGCGGAAUUCCCGGUGUAGAGGUGAAAUUCGUAGAUAUCGGGAGGAACACCAGCGGCGAAGGCGGCCACCUGGACGGAUACUGACGCUGAGACGCGAAAGCGUGGGGAGCAAACAGGAUUAGAUACC
RNAcentral lists this ribosomal RNA (800 nucleotides) under uncultured bacterium. RNAcentral's name for it is "bacterial SSU rRNA". It matches the Rfam family "Bacterial small subunit ribosomal RNA", at positions 8 to 786 of the family's 1533-position model. The record is from RNAcentral.